AGUGAACGCUGGCGGUAGGCCUAACACAUGCAAGUCGAACGGCAGCACAGUAAGAGCUUGCUCUUACGGGUGGCGAGUGGCGGACGGGUGAGGAAUACAUCGGAAUCUACUUUUUCGUGGGGGAUAACGUAGGGAAACUUACGCUAAUACCGCAUACGACCUACGGGUGAAAUCAGGGGAUCUUCGGACCUUGCGCGUUUGAAUGAGCUGAUGUCGGAUUAGCUAGUUGGCGGGGUAAAGGCCCACCAAGGCGACGAUCCGUAGCUGGUCUGAGAGGAUGAUCAGCCACACUGGAACUGAGACACGGUCCAGACUCCUACGGGAGGCAGCAGUGGGGAAUAUUGGACAAUGGGCGCAAGCCUGAUCCAGCCAUACCGCGUGGGUGAAGAAGGUCUUCGGGUUGUAAAGCCCUUUUGUUGGGAAAGAAAAGCAGCAGGUUAAUACCCCGAUGUUCUGACGGUACCCAAAGAAUAAGCACCGGCUAACUUCGUG
RNAcentral lists this ribosomal RNA (492 nucleotides) under uncultured bacterium. RNAcentral describes it as "partial 16S ribosomal RNA". It matches the Rfam family "Bacterial small subunit ribosomal RNA", at positions 29 to 507 of the family's 1533-position model. The record is from RNAcentral.